AUGUACAUCAUAAAUCCCUUCACCGGGGACAUCGUGGAAAUGGCCAUACUCGAUUGGGAAUACAACUUCAUGGGCUUGUCGUGGUCCUCGAUGGACCCAGAAUCUCCGGACUGCAUUUUCUUUGCCGUGAACAGCAGACAGGAUGGCAAAGCGGUCGGCGCCCUUACAUGGCGGCAUGGCGAGGCCAAAUGGUUUGAACGACAUCUCGAGUACUAUGAAGGGGAUCCAUUCUCAGUGGCAUACAACAACCCUGUCUUGUCCCACGACAAGUUCUAUUGCCUCGGGAGAAAGGGCAACCUUGGCACAUUUGACCCGGCAAGCGACACAUGGACGAUCUUGGAGAAGCCUAACCCGAUUCAUGUGGAGAUGGACCUCGAAGGUGACCACCAUGAGGGGAGAGAGUUUUGCUACCUGGUUGAGCUGCGAGGGGAGCUGGUCUCCGUGUUCAUGCGUAACGCAGACCAGCCACCGCGGGUGUUCAAGCUCAACGAGGAGGAGAUGGCCUGGACGAAGGUGCAAGACAUCGGCGGCGCGGCCUUGUUUGUUGAUUUCAGAGUGUCAUACUCUGUGGUGUCACCAAAAGCUGGGCAUGGCAAUAGGAUGUACUUCCCAAGUUAUUCCGAGGAUGGCAAACAAGCCGCGUUCUACGAUAUGGAGACCAAGGCAUACCACCCAUCCUUCUAUGGUUUGAAGUCACCGUUGCAAUGUGUGUGGGUUGUGCCUAAUCUACGGCCACACACCGUAUCAAAAUAA
This 753-nucleotide ribosomal RNA is filed under the name Triticum aestivum (bread wheat). RNAcentral describes it as "partial small subunit ribosomal RNA". The record is from RNAcentral. Lineage: Eukaryota; Viridiplantae; Streptophyta; Magnoliopsida; Poales; Poaceae.